This 65-nucleotide transfer RNA is filed under the name Acanthosepion aculeatum. Its description in RNAcentral is "tRNA-Gln". The record is from RNAcentral. Lineage: Eukaryota; Metazoa; Mollusca; Cephalopoda; Sepiida; Sepiidae.
UUACAAAAGAAGUUUGACCUUCACCUUAAACUUCAAAAAUUUAUAUGCCCAUACACCGCAUUGUA